Long non-coding RNA from Oreochromis aureus, 591 nucleotides. NCBI's taxonomy places the organism in Eukaryota, Metazoa, Chordata, Actinopteri, Cichliformes, Cichlidae. The record is from Ensembl.
CGCGGAUCAGUCCGCAUGUUCACGGUACAUUUUUUAUGGAAUAUGUUGAGCAAACCUGGAGAAGCGUCAGCUCAAGAGAUUAUUGUUGUCAUUGCUGUGGAUUUUUACCUGAUAAACUGACUUGGCUCGGGACCAGCACUCCUGUUGUUGGACAGAAAGACAUCAACUCAGUGACUUGAGAUAUGACUGCACUAUGCUGUUGCUGGUGACUCCAGUUAAUUCUACAAGACUGUACCCUCUGCAGGAUCGAUGCUCUGCAGGACUUUAUCACCGUUUUCAACUUCUGCCCACAGAGAGGAAAUUCAGGUGUACGAGGUCGGACUCCGAGAUUUUUGCGACCUUCUGCUGCCACCUUCCUUUGCCUCGGUGGGUGUCUUUAUCUGAGCAUCCCUUUAGCCCCCACUAUGACGCCCCUGGUAGCAACAUUUAACUUUCCGGGAUGUUUACAAUCAGACAAAAAAGCCUCAGUUUUGAGCGUAAUCAGCUCUUAUUCUGACCUCACCACAGCACCAUCUGUUCAACACGACGUCUGUGUGCAGACUCAUGACGUCAUGUCACACGUAUUAAAACACAUGAGAGAGAUGCUGGUUC